This 495-nucleotide ribosomal RNA is filed under the name uncultured bacterium. RNAcentral's name for it is "partial 16S ribosomal RNA". It matches the Rfam family "Bacterial small subunit ribosomal RNA", at positions 28 to 507 of the family's 1533-position model. The record is from RNAcentral.
GACGAACGCUGGCGGCGUGCCUAAUACAUGCAAGUCGAACGCUGAAGGAGGAGCUUGCUUCUCUGGAUGAGUUGCGAACGGGUGAGUAACGCGUAGGUAACCUGCCUGGUAGCGGGGGAUAACUAUUGGAAACGAUAGCUAAUACCGCAUAAUAGCAGUUGUUGCAUGACAACUGUUUGAAAGGUGCAAUUGCACCACUACCAGAUGGACCUGCGUUGUAUUAGCUAGUUGGUGGGGUAACGGCUCACCAAGGCGACGAUACAUAGCCGACCUGAGAGGGUGAUCGGCCACACUGGGACUGAGACACGGCCCAGACUCCUACGGGAGGCAGCAGUAGGGAAUCUUCGGCAAUGGACGGAAGUCUGACCGAGCAACGCCGCGUGAGUGAAGAAGGUUUUCGGAUCGUAAAGCUCUGUUGUAAGAGAAGAACGAGUGUGAGAGUGGAAAGUUCACACUGUGACAGUAUCUUACCAGAAAGGGACGGCUAACUACGUG